Long non-coding RNA from Tachysurus vachellii, 875 nucleotides. RefSeq lists it as uncharacterized. The record is from RefSeq and is a predicted model, not a curated record. Lineage: Eukaryota; Metazoa; Chordata; Actinopteri; Siluriformes; Bagridae. The transcript is spliced from 3 exons.
ACAGAACUUAAGCAAACAUGCUAAGAUGUGUUCUGUAACAGCAAGAUGUUCAUUUAAACACAUCUGGCAGUUUUAAUAUGAUUACACAAUGCAAAUUAUUACAAUCAUGUUGCUAUGAUGAAAUUAUUACACAUCUGUUGCUAUGAGGAAAACUAUAAUAUCGAAACAUAUAUGCAGUAGAUGACAACAGCCAGUACCAGCAGGAUGAGGAUGAGGAGGAUGACUAUUGCAGCGAUCAUGCCUGUCUCAUGACUGUUGUCUGAUAGGAGCUCCAGUUGGAACUGCUCACACCUUCUACCUACAUAGCUGUCAUUGCAUCUGCAAGGAAAAGAGAUCUAAUUAGCUCAUGCUAUAUGAGUGACAGCAAUAGAAUUUGUACAUAAAGAGAAAUGUUGCUGAUGAUACAGUUCUACACAGCUGUGAUUGAGUCAGUCCUGUGUACAUCCAUUACAGUCUGGUUUGGUUCAGCCACCAAUCAUUAGGCUGCAACAGACUGUUAAAACAUCUGAGAGGAUUAUUGGUGUGUUCCUUCCCAACCUACAGGACUUGUACAACUGCAGGGUGAAGAAACGGGCAGGUAACAUCAUCAAAGACCCCCCCACCCUGGACACAGUCUGUUUGCUCUUCUGCCAUCAGGCAGACGCUAUAAAUCACUACGCACUAAAGCAUCUAGUCCCAAGAAUAGUUUCUUCUCAUACAGUAUCUAUUUUGAACAACUAGCACACCCAAACUUACAUAUCCUGUCUGUUAAAGUGCAAUAAUCUAUAGUGUAAUAUCAGAUUACUAGAAUCCAUGUAAAUAAAUAUUAUAUUUUUUAAAUGUUCUAUAAAAGUAUUCACAGUUGCAAUAUACAGUAAUUACUAGGUACAUUAGUA